Delphinapterus leucas (beluga whale) is the source of this 3324-nucleotide non-coding RNA. Lineage: Eukaryota; Metazoa; Chordata; Mammalia; Artiodactyla; Monodontidae. The record is from RefSeq and is a predicted model, not a curated record.
GCGACUCGGCCCGGCCGGCUCCUAGAUACCUUUGUCGCGAGCCGGGCCUCCACAGCGUUGUUCGCGAGGUCGAGCUUGGGCUCCAACAGGGCUGAGCGCGUGUCCUUCGGAGUCUGAGUGGCCGGAAGGAGAGCGGUGGAGGGCCUCCGGGUGGAGGACACCGGGCUGCCCAGCUGUAGGGUCGUGCGCGUGUUCCCGGGCCUCGGGGUGGACUAGAGCUGUGGACCCCCGGCCCCUAGUGCGUUCGUCGCGCCAUUUUCCCACGGUCGUCACUUGGCGCCGGAGGGGAGGAAGUCGCCAUGGAGCCUAAGGACAGAGGUGAGAAUUUCAGAAGGAUGCCGCCUGCUGGAGAGAAAAAAGGAGAAAGGCUGCCCUCUGGCUGGGGCAAGCUCUGGAAGGACAAGCAUCACAUCUUCUCUGGGAGAGAGACCAUUCCUACCAGCUGGUCUCAUGUUGGGGUUUAAGGGGAGCCCGCUACCUACAUUGCCCUGCUGGUCUUUAGGAUGAUGUAUACCUCUUUUGCCACCCCCCCCCAAAUCACCAUAUCUGACAAUUUGGCUUUUGAUAAUGACUUUCUUUUGUUCUCACAGGAACCUCGUAAGGCGGUUAUGGAGGAAGGAGACUAUCAAAUAGACCCAUUUGGCAGAUGGGGAAAGUGAGGAUUCGAGAAGUCACAGGAUUUAUUUAGAGUGCUUGGAUUUUUUUCCCCACAGGCCCAUUGCUCUUCUGAGAAAGCCAGUUUUGUAUCUGAAAAGACAAUGUUCAAAAAGAAUUUAACUAGUCUUUCAUCCUGUGAGCCUGGAAUAGAACAGGAGUGACUCAUUGAGGCACGGAUUGACACACCGAGAUUAUUUGAGAUUAUUUUGACGAUACUCAGCAGAUGAGAAAUGGAAAUAUGUAUUUAAGUGUCCAGGAUCUCGUAGCAGAGUUCUACUGGAGUUUAAGGGUAGAGGAGCAUAGGAGGAACCUGAGGCAGCCAUGGUCAUGGCUGUCUUGUAUAAGAGAUGUUGUGGGAUUGUCCCUUGGUUCCCUGUGUUGACUCUUCUCAGGUGACAAGUAGUUGUGUGUGGCAGUUUCUGUGAGUGUACUGCAAGCAAGAGUAAUCACUGGGGCUCCCAUUUCCACUUCUAGGGUCACUUUCUGAGAAUUCAGACCUUCCCCAUGCUGGAAACCCAAAAGAAAAUGGCCUGACCUCUGUGCUGCUGACCCCUGCAUACCAGAGUCAGGUCUGUAAAGUCGUUGCCAUGGAGAUGACUGGAGGCCGAAGGAUGGGGGAGCAGAACACGACCUGCUGUGGGGAGAUACCCCUGACCCCGGCUUCUUGGCCAGGAAGAAGGAGGGCCCCGUGCCUUUGAGUUGGGGUUCCUUCUGACUGUGUGCUGAGGCUGACUUGCAGGAUCUUAGUUCCCUGACCAGAUUGAAUCCACGCCCUUGGCCGUGAAAGCGCGGAGUCCUAAACACUGGACCACCAAGGAAUUCCCGUGCUGCUACCUCUCGAUGCCAAACUUCUGUCCACCGAAGGUUUGCCACCUCAUUGCCUUACACUGACUCUGAUGUGUGUGUCUGGACUCCAUACAUCCUGCCGGGUCCCCAGUUUAGUCUAGAUCCUUGGUCCCAGUGUAUUCCCUUAGCUCUUCCUCUCGUUGAGCUAUCCUGCUGACACCCACAUCCCUGCUUUGUCCCGCCUCCUUUCGAAGGGCCCAGUCUGCUUUGGGGUGCAGUGCCCUCAUCACCAAAGUGUGCUCCUGGCCUGGCCAUCCUCGAGCAGUCCCCUUCCCAGCUUGCAGUCAUUCAUCCCACGGGUCACCUCGCGGGGCAUCAGCGUUCACCCCAGCUGCCCCUCCAUCGAUGCCCUGAUGUUCUCCAUCUCUUGGGUUUGCACCCUCCCUCCCUCUGGGCCAGAAAGACCCCGGCUCUGUCUCAAUCCUGGAAACGGGCACCCUUGCCUCUCGUCCCCGGCCUGCCUCAUCUGUGGGAACGAUGCUGUCUGGGCCAGAACUCGCCCUGCUGCAAUCAGUGGAAGUCAGCCGUCACUGUGUGGGGAUGAGGGGCCAACCUCAGCAAUCAGGCAAGACCAAACCUCCCUUUUGCAUUUGCGGAAACUGUGGUCCUAAGAGGUUAAUGAGUCUGAAGUGAGAGGCCGGAACCCAGAGCCGACCUCCCUGAGUGUGACAGACGUGUCCUUGAAGUGUCACCUGCUGUGUACACGGAGGGCGCUCAUAUCCCAGCUCGAACAGAAUCCUUUGACGACAGUACCCUCAGAUUACAAGUUGGGGUUUUCAAUACCAGGACCUGAGACAGGAGGAAGACUUAAGACAGCACAGUGGAGGAAGGGCCUGAGGACAGACAGAGCCCCAGAGAAACUUCCCCUGGCGAGAGCUGAGCGGGUUGCUAGGAACACGAUGACUGACAUUUCAGUUUGAGGAUUUUUUCCUUCGUCUGCGGCAGUCACCUUCCUUUACCCCCUAGCUCUUAGUCAGAGAUCUUUACAUAAUUGUUUUAGUGGUGAGUCAGGGAUGAAGAAAAAAGGCCGGCUCCCCAGAUGCCAGGUGAUGACUGCUGCAAGGUGAACAGGGGCCCUGAGAUAUAGUCCUCCUUUGCUCCAAGGCCUCCAACAGAGAAGUGACCUUGAAAGGGAGUGGGGGCGGAUGGUGCAGGGCAGGAGUUGAGCCGUAUGACCGGGACAGGAGAGGAGAGGAGGAGCUGGGGACCUCCAGGCAGCAGUCCCUGCUCAGGGGUCCAGUCCCUGGGCUGCAGCUGGCAGGAUGGGCCCCAAUGCAAGACCUGCAGCUCCCCUGCGCCUUGAAGGCUUUGCCUGGAGCUGUUGUACCCGCCAUGCAUGCUGUACUACAUUUGAGUCCCAGCAGAGUCAAACACGAGUGAAAGGGGAAGGGAAAGACACGAAUGAUGUGGCUUGGGUUUGCAAGCACAGGGUCCUAUUCUGAUACAAUUUAGGGAUGAAUGUUUACGUUUUCUUCAGUACUGUAUAAUUCGGUCUUAAAAUACUUCCACUGCUCGGGGACUAGGAGAGUAGAACCCAAACGUAUUGGGCAGCUAGACGUAACACAUUAUUCUGCGGGUUAAAGGAAAACACACUUUCUGAACUGUGCUCUGAAAACAAAGGCAUCUGUAGUCAAAUAUGCUUGGAGCACCCAGGGUAGCCGUGAAAGCUGGAUCUACCCAGUGUCCACACCCCACUUCUUCCUGAGCCACAGAACCCUGGCUUUAUUCCAGGCACAGAGCACCCAGCCCAAAGAGCAAGUUCCCAGCCUCCCUGUAGCUCUGUGUGGCCUUCUGAUCAAGCGCUGGUCAAUGAAAUGUAAA